AAAUUGAAGAGUUUGAUCAUGGCUCAGAUUGAACGCUGGCGGCAGGCCUAACACAUGCAAGUCGAGCGGUAGCACAGAGAGCUUGCUCUCGGGUGACGAGCGGCGGACGGGUGAGUAAUGUCUGGGAAACUGCCUGAUGGAGGGGGAUAACUACUGGAAACGGUAGCUAAUACCGCAUAACGUCGCAAGACCAAAGUGGGGGACCUUCGGGCCUCAUGCCAUCAGAUGUGCCCAGAUGGGAUUAGCUAGUAGGUGGGGUAACGGCUCACCUAGGCGACGAUCCCUAGCUGGUCUGAGAGGAUGACCAGCCACACUGGAACUGAGACACGGUCCAGACUCCUACGGGAGGCAGCAGUGGGGAAUAUUGCACAAUGGGCGCAAGCCUGAUGCAGCCAUGCCGCGUGUGUGAAGAAGGCCUUCGGGUUGUAAAGCACUUUCAGCGGGGAGGAAGGCGAUAAGGUUAAUAACCUUGGCGAUUGACGUUACCCGCAGAAGAAGCACCGGCUAACUCCGUGCCAGCAGCCGCGGUAAUACGGAGGGUGCAAGCGUUAAUCGGAAUUACUGGGCGUAAAGCGCACGCAGGCGGUCUGUCAAGUCGGAUGUGAAAUCCCCGGGCUCAACCUGGGAACUGCAUUCGAAACUGGCAGGCUAGAGUCUUGUAGAGGGGGGUAGAAUUCCAGGUGUAGCGGUGAAAUGCGUAGAGAUCUGGAGGAAUACCGGUGGCGAAGGCGGCCCCCUGGACAAAGACUGACGCUCAGGUGCGAAAGCGUGGGGAGCAAACAGGAUUAGAUACCCUGGUAGUCCACGCCGUAAACGAUGUCGAUUUGGAGGUUGUGCCCUUGAGGCGUGGCUUCCGGAGCUAACGCGUUAAAUCGACCGCCUGGGGAGUACGGCCGCAAGGUUAAAACUCAAAUGAAUUGACGGGGGCCCGCACAAGCGGUGGAGCAUGUGGUUUAAUUCGAUGCAACGCGAAGAACCUUACCUGGUCUUGACAUCCACAGAACUUUCCAGAGAUGGAUUGGUGCCUUCGGGAACUGUGAGACAGGUGCUGCAUGGCUGUCGUCAGCUCGUGUUGUGAAAUGUUGGGUUAAGUCCCGCAACGAGCGCAACCCUUAUCCUUUGUUGCCAGCGGUUAGGCCGGGAACUCAAAGGAGACUGCCAGUGAUAAACUGGAGGAAGGUGGGGAUGACGUCAAGUCAUCAUGGCCCUUACGACCAGGGCUACACACGUGCUACAAUGGCAUAUACAAAGAGAAGCGACCUCGCGAGAGCAAGCGGACCUCAUAAAGUAUGUCGUAGUCCGGAUUGGAGUCUGCAACUCGACUCCAUGAAGUCGGAAUCGCUAGUAAUCGUAGAUCAGAAUGCUACGGUGAAUACGUUCCCGGGCCUUGUACACACCGCCCGUCACACCAUGGGAGUGGGUUGCAAAAGAAGUAGGUAGCUUAACCUUCGGGAGGGCGCUUACCACUUUGUGAUUCAUGACUGGGGUGAAGUCGUAACAAGGUAACCGUAGGGGAACCUGCGGUUGGAUCACCUCCUUA
RNAcentral lists this ribosomal RNA (1540 nucleotides) under Klebsiella pneumoniae. RNAcentral's name for it is "bacterial SSU rRNA". It matches the Rfam family "Bacterial small subunit ribosomal RNA". The record is from RNAcentral. Lineage: Bacteria; Pseudomonadati; Pseudomonadota; Gammaproteobacteria; Enterobacterales; Enterobacteriaceae.